AUGAUUCAUGACAGGCAUGCCAUGAACAGGUGUAUGAUUACAAAAAUAGAUGUUAUGAAUGGGUUUAAGACUAGAGAGGAGGUAGAUGAUGACUACUUCAAUUUCGUGCUCAAAGCGAAGAGCAAUGUUGGAGUAGGCACGACAAUCAGUGUGGAUGUCUUCUUCGUGCUCUUUUUACUUCUUCGCCCCGCCUUGGUGAGGGCCUUACCGACUUCCUCGCCUUGCCGUUGGGCGGAGCAAGCGGAGGGCGAGCGGUCUUCAUCGCGGCCGCCGUUGGCCUUCGUUGACGACAUGGCGGUCCGCACCACAUUCUUCGUCCCCAAUUGCUUCCUUGGUGCAGAUGGCGGUGUAGCACCAACGGGGUUGCGGAGGAGAUCCUGCGGUUCCAUUCCUGCUGAAGUCGGGAACUGCGGUGGCGGCAAUGACGACAUUGGCGGCGGUGAUAGGAAGAGGUGGCGCCUCGGGCGGGAGUUGGGAGAGACCGAUUUUCCUCGAGAAGUAGCCGCGACCGAGUAA
Molecule: ribosomal RNA, 516 nt
Filed under: Triticum aestivum (bread wheat)
Lineage: Eukaryota; Viridiplantae; Streptophyta; Magnoliopsida; Poales; Poaceae
Description: partial small subunit ribosomal RNA
Source: RNAcentral